UUGGUUGGAUGAUUCUCAUGGAAGCACUUUUGUGCAAUCGGUUGUGACAAUCGCAAACAUUUUCGCCAUGAUUUUUGUGACUUUAGCCUGUGGAUAUCAAGGAUUCAAGAGCGGAUGGCCUGGCUAUAAACUUUCUACAGGAUACUUCCCGUAUGGAGUAGACGGGAUGCUUGCGGGCACUUCGACAGGCUUCUUUUCAUAUAUAGAGUUUGAUUCAGUUGCCAGUACAGCAGAAGAGGUGAAAAAUCCUCAAAGGGAUUUACCUCUAUGAAGUGGGGCUGCAUUAUCUAUUUGCUACUUGUUAUACAUGUUAGUCUCCGCGGUUAUUGUUGGUUUAGUACCUUAUUAUGCAAUGGAUCCCGACACCCCUAUUUCUUCUGCAUUUGCU
Helianthus annuus (common sunflower) is the source of this 388-nucleotide long non-coding RNA. RefSeq lists it as uncharacterized. The transcript has 4 exons. Lineage: Eukaryota; Viridiplantae; Streptophyta; Magnoliopsida; Asterales; Asteraceae. The record is from RefSeq and is a predicted model, not a curated record.